This is a long non-coding RNA of Alnus glutinosa, 630 nucleotides long. RefSeq lists it as uncharacterized. The record is from RefSeq and is a predicted model, not a curated record. The transcript has 3 exons. NCBI's taxonomy places the organism in Eukaryota, Viridiplantae, Streptophyta, Magnoliopsida, Fagales, Betulaceae.
CCAAAAUAGCUUAUCCACUAUCAACUUGUUCUCCAAGGUUGAUUUACAGCCCUUGGAUCAGUUUUGAUCCAUGAGAUCUUGACCAUCCAAUUUAGUGUAAAAGGAGCACCCUUCAUUCAUGCGUACAUUUCUUCUUUUCCUUUGGUUUCUCUUGGCUUCUCUCUCAUUUCUGCAACUCUCUCUUCUUCUCUUUUGGUUUGGUUGCAUCAAGAGAAAGGAAGAUGCUCUCUAGCUUUUCCUCUAGUCCUCUUUAAUUGGAAUUGCAUCAAAGAAGAAGAAGUUCUUCUUCUCUCUCACGGGUCAGAAGUUGAAAGGAAGGAAAACAUGAAAUAGGAUCCUCCCUAUCACAUUCUUUGGCUGGAUCUAGUGUGUGGGAGUGUUGUGUAUUUCACAAGAUAUCCUAGAGAUAUUUGGAGUAUGGGAUUGUGGUGUUAACCACAAUCACAUGCGAGUUUUGCAGGAACGAAGGCAGGAGCUGCUAGGUUAUGGAUGAGACCUUUAGUAUGUAGAUGUUAUAUACAAUGGUUAUGUAAUGUUUGUGUCGCAUGUGAUACUUAUGUUGUUAUUUAGAUGUAUUUUAUUAUAUCAGAACAAAUGGUUAUUAUUUUAUAUAUUGAGGUUAUUUAGUCA